RNAcentral lists this long non-coding RNA (1459 nucleotides) under Anas platyrhynchos platyrhynchos (common mallard). RNAcentral describes it as "lncRNA (ENSAPLG00000029957.1)". Lineage: Eukaryota; Metazoa; Chordata; Aves; Anseriformes; Anatidae. The record is from RNAcentral.
UGGUCCUCCUAGCAGCUGCAUUUACAAGUCUCCAAGGUGAUUCAUAUCAAUGGUCGUUUGCUAAAUUUGAGGUCUACAUAUUUCAGAUAGGGUCUGGCUGACCCUCUCACAAGAAAACAUCCAUAAUUUGGAUUAUAACCUGUCCUCUUUUUGUUGUUUCAUCAGUUCUUCAAACCUCAGCUUUGUAAUCAAUUUAAGCAGUUUUAGUGAGGAUUUGAACCUUAUGCUCAAGGAAAUUGGAAAUUCUAGAUCAAAAUAACCUCCAGUGAGAUAAUACCAUCUCCCUGUGUGCUGUGACCCACUAUGUCAGAGAGCACACUAUGAAGUUUGCCAUGUGGGUUUCAGUGGGAUGUGCAUUUAAGAACGGUACCACCUACUUAACCGUGCAAUCAAGUUGCUGUAUUUAUAUACUUCCCAUUUUUGAUUGGAUCAGUAUUGAUCUUAGUUUGGUCUCCUCUGGCUGUAUGUGAAGAGCAUUUCUGGAAGCAGAGACACCCUUGCACCACACUGCUCUGUGUUGCCUCUUUGCUCUAGCUCCCCUGGCAGCUUGCUCCUGCAGACUUUUUUCUGUUCCCAGACUCCUGGUUCUUGCUUCCACUUCACUAACGAUUGGCUUUCCAGCCUUCUGCUGCUCCUUGGUUUUACUGCCUUUUCUCUCAUGCGCUUUAUAGUCUAAAUUCAGUAACUUCCUCAUGCUUGCUAUUCCCAUAUCAUCAAGAACAUCCUAGAAAAUGCAGCUCUGUCAUUCAGCCAUGUUAUUACAUACACUGCUGGCUACAGCAGAGAAAACCUUUUGCCUCUUGUCUUUCGGCUGCCACAAGCUCCAGCUCCUCAUCACCAGAGGCCACAUUACCUCACGGCUUCGGCAGUCCUCCCUGUGAUCUUUCCACUUCCCUUGGGACUGAUCUCAACACUGGCCAGUGCAAAAGAGGUGCUUGGUACAGUCACCAGAGAGUUAAUGGUGCCCCGGACAUGUGGUCACUGGCACAAGAUCCUGGGAGGAUUCUGUAGAAGGGUGUGUGUAAACGAACUCCAGGCAUCUCUGAAGCCACUUGAAAAGUACUUGUAGUAACAGAGCUGCACGUGUUUCUGCCUUUCCUGGAAAUUAUCAGUCACAAUAAGGUCUGCAGCAAUGAGACACGGAAUGGGAUUUUUCCGGACCUGUUGAAUACAGAGGCCAUUUCCUGACCAUAGUAAUUUAAUGCAUCAUUGUUAUGCUCUCACUUCUAUCACAUCGUUCUUACUCCAAAUUUCUGUCUUGCCUUUAAUGAAUUUCCAUCUGAAAUCCAUCUGAGACUUGUAUAUGUGAUGUGUACUUGCCUGUAUUAGUGAGGAGGCAGCAGACAUCAUUACCUCUGCUCUUCCCCUGGCCAGCCAUGACUUUGCCAUCGGAGAGCUGUCCGCUCCUUUGAGGCCGUGUUGCCAAGUCCAGUGUUGUCAAAUAAACCCUAAUUCUGAU